GUGGGGAAUCUUGCGCAAUGGGCGAAAGCCUGACGCAGCCAUGCCGCGUGAAUGAUGAAGGUCUUAGGAUUGUAAAAUUCUUUCACCGGGGACGAUAAUGACGGUACCCGGAGAAGAAGCCCCGGCUAACUUCGUGCCAGCAGCCGCGGUAAUACGAAGGGGGCUAGCGUUGCUCGGAAUUACUGGGCGUAAAGGGCGCGUAGGCGGAUCGUUAAGUCAGGGGUGAAAUCCCAGAGCUCAACUCUGGAACUGCCCUUGAUACUGGCGAUCUUGAGUGUGAGAGAGGUAUGUGGAACUCCGAGUGUAGAGGUGAAAUUCGUAGAUAUUCGGAAGAACACCAGUGGCGAAGGCGACAUACUGGCUCAUUACUGACGCUGAGGCGCGAAAGCGUGGGGAGCAAACAGGAUUAGAUACCCGGGUAGUCC
RNAcentral lists this ribosomal RNA (425 nucleotides) under uncultured bacterium. Its description in RNAcentral is "partial 16S ribosomal RNA". It matches the Rfam family "Bacterial small subunit ribosomal RNA", at positions 354 to 796 of the family's 1533-position model. The record is from RNAcentral.